Molecule: non-coding RNA, 69 nt
Organism: Cyanidioschyzon merolae strain 10D
Lineage: Eukaryota; Rhodophyta; Bangiophyceae; Cyanidiales; Cyanidiaceae
Source: the annotation of a RefSeq genome assembly
GCAGACCUUGACAACUCAGAUGCCUGGCUUUCACCCAGGAGAUCGCGGGUUCGAACCCCGCCGCGAGAA